AUGCUUCUAUUAUUGAUCUGGAGUUGGGAGUACUUGCCAGUGGGGCGGCCGACACCAAAGGGUUACGACCCGUGGGAUGAUCAUCAUGACCCAAACCAUAUGCCUACAUGGGCAUAUAAGUGGGACAAGAUUGAAGGUUUUGUUGGCAAUUCAAAGACCAUGUAUUUGCACUACGACAACGAGCUUGACAUCAUGACCCCGGAGUAG
Molecule: ribosomal RNA, 207 nt
Filed under: Triticum aestivum (bread wheat)
Lineage: Eukaryota; Viridiplantae; Streptophyta; Magnoliopsida; Poales; Poaceae
Description: partial small subunit ribosomal RNA
Source: RNAcentral